This 72-nucleotide transfer RNA is filed under the name Microcaldota archaeon. Its description in RNAcentral is "tRNA-Arg". It matches the Rfam family "tRNA". Rfam says of the family: Transfer RNA (tRNA) molecules are approximately 80 nucleotides in length. Their secondary structure includes four short double-helical elements and three loops (D, anti-codon, and T loops). Lineage: Archaea; Nanobdellati; Microcaldota. The record is from RNAcentral.
GGGCUCGUAGCAUAACGGAAGUGCAGCCGGCUUCGGACCGGCAGGUUGGGAGUUCGAGUCUCUCCGGGCCCG